UGGAUCAAUGAUGAAAGGGUGUCAUGAAUCAAAGAUUAUGAUUAAUCCAAUCCCAGAGAAAUUCCACC
Molecule: small nucleolar RNA, 68 nt
Filed under: Pteropus vampyrus (large flying fox)
Lineage: Eukaryota; Metazoa; Chordata; Mammalia; Chiroptera; Pteropodidae
Description: Small nucleolar RNA SNORD112 (ENSPVAG00000029946.1)
Source: RNAcentral